Molecule: non-coding RNA, 148 nt
Filed under: Gorilla gorilla gorilla (western lowland gorilla)
Lineage: Eukaryota; Metazoa; Chordata; Mammalia; Primates; Hominidae
Source: Rfam by way of RNAcentral
GCCGGGCGUGGUGGCGGGCGCCUGUAGUCCCAGCUACUCGGGAGGCUGAGUCAGGAGAAUGGCUUGAGCCCAGGAGGCGGAGGUUGCAGUGAGCCGAGAUUGCACCACUACACUCCAGCCUGGGCAACAGAGCAAGACUCUGUCUCAA